Molecule: ribosomal RNA, 459 nt
Filed under: uncultured bacterium
Lineage: Bacteria
Description: partial 16S ribosomal RNA
Rfam family: Bacterial small subunit ribosomal RNA
Source: RNAcentral
CCUACGGGUGACAGCAGUGAGGAAUAUUGGUCAAUGGGAGAGAUCCUGAACCAGCCAAGUCGCGUGAGGGAAGACGGCCCUAUGGGUUGUAAACCUCUUUUGUCGGAGAACAAAACCCGGUACGUGUCCCGGACUGCGUGUAUCCCAAGAAACAGCCUCGGCUAACUCCGUGCAAGCAGCUGCGGUAAUCCGGAGGAUGCGAGCGUUAUCCGGAUUUAUUGGGUUAAACGGGUGCGUAGGCGGUCUGUUAAGUCAGCGGUAAAAUUGCGGGGCUCAACCCCGUCGAGCCGUUGAAACUGGCAGACUUGAGUGGGCGAGAAGUACGCGGAAUGCGCGGUGUAGCGGUGAAAUGCAUAGAUAUCGCGCAGAACUCCGAUUGCGAAGGCAGCGUACCGGAGCCAGACUGACGCUGAGGCACGAAAGCGUGGGGAUCGAACAGGAUUAGAUACCCCAGUAGUC